UAUGGUACAAAAUAUUAUCCUUUUGAUUUUUUUCAACUAUUACAUGAAAACUGUAAAAACUGUUCUUAGCUCACAGAAUGUGGGAGGGUUAGAUCUGGUCCAUAGGCUACUGUGUGCAAACCAUCCACAAACCUGGCUUCUCUGCUGCUUCUGUAGGCCCUCCCCUGGUUUUAGAUCUUGGGCUUCACUCAGACUUGGGUUCCAGCCUCCCACAGGCUCACAGUUUAUGUGAGUUAAAUUGAUCUGACACCUAGAGCUUGUGAUUUCUUGGUCUGCCAGUCUAUUCAUUGAUCCACGCAGAGUGCAAUGCCAUGUCCCCCAGCCAAGGGCAUUCUAAGGAACUCCAAAGCCCACACACAAAAAGCGUCUAGUGUGUUCAGAACUAAACUGCCUGCCCAAUUGACUUUCUACACUGUUUUCUGGUUUGGGUUUUUUUUCCCACCCGUACUGGGGGUUUAACCUAGGGGUGCUCUAUCGCUCACUAAACUAUAUCCUUGGCCUUAUUUGUUUGUUUUGCAUGUUUAUUUAUUUAUUUUUGAAACUGAGGAUUGAAUCCAGAGGUGCUUUACCACUGAGCCACAUCCCCAGCCACUUUUUUAAAAAAAUAUUUUGUAGUUAUAGUUGACACAUGCCUUUAUUUAAUUUAUUUAUUUAUAUGUGGUGCUGAGGAUCAAACCCAGGGCCUUGAACAUGCUAAUCGUGCGCUCUACCACUGAGCCAAAACCCCAGUCCCUCAGCCACUUUUAUUUUUUAUUUUGACUUUUUUUUUUUUAAUAUUUAUUUUUUAGUUUUCGGC
RNAcentral lists this long non-coding RNA (796 nucleotides) under Marmota monax (woodchuck). The record is from RNAcentral. Lineage: Eukaryota; Metazoa; Chordata; Mammalia; Rodentia; Sciuridae.